UGUUUUUAUACGAGAAAAUGCGCGCCAGUUUUUAUUUUUUACGUUUUAUGUUUCACGCCGUUCUUAAUUUUCAAUUUCUGACGGCGACGUACGUCAUUCAUUUUAUGCGAUGGAAUAUGCUCAGAACAUUAUGAAUACUAUUCAGGAAAAGGUUUCUAAAAAGUUCUACGCGGAUCAUUUUGUGUGGUACCUAGAAAUUUAGUCGACUCUCAAAAUUUUCCGAUGUUGUCAAGCAAGUCAUCGGGAAAUUAAUCUGACUAAGCCAAAUCAAGACAUUCAAGAGAAAACAGAGCAUCCAAAUUUUAGAUAAGUAUAGAGAAUUUAUAUUAUUCCUGACAAUUGAACACGUAGAAAAAAAUUCUAUUCAAGUUUUCAGAAAAAAUAAAAAUAAAAAUAAAACCGUUGUUCAUAAUGCAGCGAUAGUCUGCAGUGAAUGAAAGUUGGAGUGCGUGACGAGGUUUAAAACAAAUAUUUAUGAUAAUAUAAUAUUAUGUGCAUUAUUAUUGUACCUAUUAGAUGCUGACAACUCGAAUUCGAGACACUGCACACGGAAAAAUAACUCCCUGAGAUGAUAGAUACGUAGAACACAACGACCUAACCUCGUUUCGACUGUGCCGCGGUGUUCAGUAACCAUUGUCUUUAGAUUUUUAACCCAAUGCUAAUGAUGAUAUAUAUAUUAUUACGUAACUAAUUUAAGUUUUUUUCGAAUACACGACUGUGCAUAUUAUUAUUGUAUAUACAUUUCGAGGACUCGGAGAAAUUUGACCAAGACGACAGUCAUCGCAAGCGGUUAUAAUGUAUUACUAUUAUAGGCAUUAAAUAGUUUCUCGAGGUUUGUCGGAAAUCAUAAAUUAAUAGGUAUACGUAUACAUGAAGAAAAAAACCAAGACGACCAUGUUUAUAUACAAAGUAAUUCUUUUAUCUUAGCGCAAACAUAAAUAAAUGUGAGGCAUUUUUUUUAGUUAUACUCGUAUUUUUUUCAUUUAAAGUUUGAGAACCCGUGUUUAUUCUAUGAAUAUUCUAAUAUAUAAUAGGAAUUUGAUCUUAAGGGUGUGAGAACCUACGUGUUUUUAAUACAACGAAAGUCUCUAGCAGGAAAAAUUCUCACGCUUCAUGAAAUGUCUGAAUUUAAUGAUUUUUUAAUAUACAAG
Melanaphis sacchari is the source of this 1151-nucleotide long non-coding RNA. RefSeq lists it as uncharacterized. The record is from RefSeq and is a predicted model, not a curated record. Lineage: Eukaryota; Metazoa; Arthropoda; Insecta; Hemiptera; Aphididae. The transcript is spliced from 3 exons.